Molecule: RNA transcript, 1218 nt
Organism: Cercocebus atys (sooty mangabey)
Lineage: Eukaryota; Metazoa; Chordata; Mammalia; Primates; Cercopithecidae
Gene name: polyadenylate-binding protein 1 pseudogene
Exons: 1
Source: RefSeq, a predicted model, not a curated record
UGACCUCGUGAUCCACCUGCCUCAGCCUCCCAAAGUGCUGGGAUUACAGAUGUGAGCCACUGCGCCCGGCCAAGCAUAUGAAGAAGUUCUGAGUUAUCAAUCUCCAACAACAUGCCAGUGAUUUUACCAGCAAGAAUAGGGUACAUGGCUUGAAUAACAGGAAACAGCUGUUCACCCAACAUUUGCUUUUGCUCUUGAGGGGCAGAUGCCAACAUGGAAGCAGUCAAAGGUUCCUGACCUUGUACAUGAACAGCAGGCUAUUGCAUUGUCACUUGUGGCUGUGCAUUAAGAUGUUGCUGAGGACUGCGAACUCCCACAGUGUAUUUAUACUGUGGAACGGUGCGGACAGCAGGAGUAGCUGCAGCAGAUACCAGCAGAUACCAGGGUGUUAAUAUGUAUGUGAAAAAUCUUGAUAAUGGUAUUGAUGAUGAACGUCUCCAGAAACAGUUUUCUCCAUUUGGUACAAUCACUAGUGCAAAGGCUAUGAUGGAGGGUGGUCGCAGCAAAGGGUUUGGUUUUCUAUGUUUCCCCUUCCCAGAAGAAGCCACUAAAGCAGUUACAGAAAUGAACGGUAGAAUUGUGGCCACAAAAACCACUGUAUGUAGAGUUAGCUCAGAGCAAAGAAGAGUGCCAGGCUCAUUUCACUAACCAGUAUACGCAGAGAAUGGCCAAGUGUACAAGCUGUGCCCAACCAUGUAAUUAGCCCCUACCAGACAGCACCUGGUUACUUCAUGGCAGCUAUUCCACACUCAGAACCGUGCUGCAUACUCUCCUCCUAGCCAAACUGCUCCACUAAGACCAAGUCCUCGCUGGACUGCUCAGGGUGCCACACCUCAUCCACUCCAAUAUGCCUGGUGCUAUCCACCCAGCUGCUCCUAGACCACCACUUAGUACUAUGAGACCAGCUUCUUCACAGGUUCCACGAGUCAUGUCAACAGAGCGUGUUGCUAACACAUCAACUUUCCAUUUUUUAACCAAAAUUAUCCAACAUUAGAAUUCAAGGUUUUAAUAUUCUUAAUUUGAAAACUUAAUGUUAAAGAUCCAUAAAUUAACAGUUUUAUAUUUCAUAAUUUAUCAUUCUCAAAACAGUAUAACUUUUAGAAGCAUCAAUCAAGCACCUCAAUUAAUAUAUAAUCUUUAGUAUCAAGAUUUGCUUUAUUUAUUUUAUUUUACUUUUUUUGAGACAGAGUUUCACUCUUGUUUCCCAGGCUGGAGUGC